Molecule: ribosomal RNA, 465 nt
Filed under: Vreelandella stevensii
Lineage: Bacteria; Pseudomonadati; Pseudomonadota; Gammaproteobacteria; Oceanospirillales; Halomonadaceae
Description: partial 16S ribosomal RNA
Rfam family: Bacterial small subunit ribosomal RNA
Source: RNAcentral
CCUACGGGGGGCUGCAGUGGGGAAUAUUGGACAAUGGGGGCAACCCUGAUGCAGCCAUGCCGCGUGUGUGAAGAAGGCCCUCGGGUUGUAAAGCACUUUCAGUGAGGAAGAACGCCUGGAGGUUAAUACCCAUCAGGAAAGACAUCACCCACAGAAGAAGCACCGGCUAACUCCGUGCCAGCAGCCGCGGUAAUACGGAGGGUGCGAGCGUUAAUCGGAAUUACUGGGCGUAAAGCGCGCGUAGGUGGCUUGAUAAGCCGGUUGUGAAAGCCCCGGGCUCAACCUGGGAACGGCAUCCGGAACUGGCAAGCUAGAGUGCAGGAGAGGAAGGUAGAAUUCCCGGUGUAGCGGUGAAAUGCGUAGAGAUCGGGAGGAAUACCAGUGGCGAAGGCGGCCUUCUGGACUGACACUGACACUGAGGUGCGAAAGCGUGGGUAGCAAACAGGAUUAGAUACCCGAGUAGUC